RNAcentral lists this ribosomal RNA (284 nucleotides) under Chlamydia psittaci. RNAcentral's name for it is "partial 16S ribosomal RNA". It matches the Rfam family "Bacterial small subunit ribosomal RNA", at positions 49 to 318 of the family's 1533-position model. Lineage: Bacteria; Pseudomonadati; Chlamydiota; Chlamydiia; Chlamydiales; Chlamydiaceae. The record is from RNAcentral.
UGAUGAGGCAUGCAAGUCGAACGGAAUAAUGACUUCGGUUAUUAUUUAGUGGCGGAAGGGUUAGUAAUACAUAGAUAAUCUGUCCUCAACUUGGGAAUAACGGUUGGAAACGACCGCUAAUACCGAAUGUGGUAUGUUUAGGAUUCUAAAACAUAUUAAAGAAGGGGAUCUUCGGACCUUUCGGUUGAGGGAGAGUCUAUGGGAUAUCAGCUUGUUGGUGGGGUAAUGGCCUACCAAGGCUUUGACGUCUAGGCGGAUUGAGAGAUUGACCGCCAACACUGGAA